This 465-nucleotide ribosomal RNA is filed under the name uncultured Moraxella sp. Its description in RNAcentral is "bacterial SSU rRNA". It matches the Rfam family "Bacterial small subunit ribosomal RNA", at positions 338 to 795 of the family's 1533-position model. The record is from RNAcentral. Lineage: Bacteria; Pseudomonadati; Pseudomonadota; Gammaproteobacteria; Moraxellales; Moraxellaceae.
CCUACGUGCGGCAGCAGUGGGGAAUAUUGGACACUGGGCGAAAGCCUGAUCCAGCCAUGCCGCGUGUGUGAAGAAGGCCUUUUGGUUGUAAAGCACUUUAAGUGGGGAGGAAAAGCUUGUGGUUAAUACCCAUAAGCACUGACGUUACCCACAGAAUAAGCACCGGCUAACUCUGUGCCAGCAGCCGCGGUAAUACAGAGGGUGCAAGCGUUAAUCGGAAUUACUGGGCGUAAAGCGCGCGUAGGUGGUUAUUUAAGUCAGAUGUGAAAGCCCCGGGCUUAACCUGGGAACUGCAUCUGAGACUGGAUAACUAGAGUAGGUGAGAGGGGAGUAAAAUUCCAGGUGUAGCGGUGAAAUGCGUAGAGAUCUGGAGGAAUACCGAUGGCGAAGGCAGCGCCCUGGCAUCAUACUGACACUGAGGUGCGAAAGCGUGGGUAGCAAACAGGAUUAGAUACCCUUGUAGUC